AGAGCUAUUAUUGAAAAAAAUUAGAAGUUUUUAGAAUUAGGACUAAGUUGAUGGUUCAUGUAGAAUCUACCAUGGAACAUUCUACAAGGACUUAAAGAGAUCAUCUUAGUAGGAUCCACCAUUAAGAACAUUUCCAAAAGUUCGAAGAUAAUUGAAUAAUGUAUAAAUAAAAUUCGCUAAGGCCAUUUAAAAAUUUGAUCAAAUAUAGUUUUGGUCCCUUUCACUCACUAAAGUUUGGUUUAUAUUUUUUAUUGUAUUCGAUUUUAUUUUAUUUUAUCUUUUGCUUUGUUUUUCCUUUCAUAUUCUAUUUUGUUUAAUUUUUUUUUAAUUUUUUAUUAAUUUGCUCUAUCCUACU
Molecule: long non-coding RNA, 355 nt
Filed under: Physcomitrium patens
Lineage: Eukaryota; Viridiplantae; Streptophyta; Bryopsida; Funariales; Funariaceae
Description: long non-coding RNA (PPAT_LNC008153)
Source: RNAcentral